AAAACACCCACACAGGUUGUGUUGAACUGGUUAAUAGCACAAGAAAACGUCGUGCCAAUCCCGGGAGCCAAAAGUGCAGAACAGGCUAUUGAAUUUGCAGGUGCAUUGGGUUGGAGAAUCUCCAGUGAAGAAAUCAAUGAACUUCGUUCCUUGGCUUCAGAAAUCAAACCUGUUAUUGGUUUCCCUGUUGAGAAGCUGUAGAUCAAUAGAUAUGAAAGCGGAAA
RNAcentral lists this unclassified non-coding RNA (224 nucleotides) under Hevea brasiliensis (rubber tree). The record is from RNAcentral. Lineage: Eukaryota; Viridiplantae; Streptophyta; Magnoliopsida; Malpighiales; Euphorbiaceae.